UGGCGAUGAUUAAAUUGGAUUUAUCCGCGCUUCUGAGAGCAUUUCUCUGAUGCAAAAUUUAAAAAAUGGUUGAAUUUCUUGAUAUGAGCCA
Small nucleolar RNA from Coffea eugenioides, 91 nucleotides. NCBI's taxonomy places the organism in Eukaryota, Viridiplantae, Streptophyta, Magnoliopsida, Gentianales, Rubiaceae. The record is from RefSeq and is a predicted model, not a curated record.